Molecule: ribosomal RNA, 440 nt
Filed under: uncultured bacterium
Lineage: Bacteria
Description: partial 16S ribosomal RNA
Rfam family: Bacterial small subunit ribosomal RNA
Source: RNAcentral
CCUACGGGGGGCAGCAGUGGGGGAUAUUGCACAAUGGGGGGAACCCUGAUGCAGCGACGCCGCGUGAGCGAUGGAGUACUUCGGUAUGUAAAGCUCUGUCAGCAGGGAAGAAAAUGACGGUACCUGACCAAGAAGCCCCGGCUAAAUACGUGCCAGCAGCCGCGGUAAUACGUAGGGGGCAAGCGUUAUCCGGAUUUACUGGGUGUAAAGGGAGCGUAGGCGGCAGGGCAAGCCUGAAGUGAAAGCCGGGGGCUCAACCCCGGGACUGCCUUGGAAACUGGCCGGCUGGAGUGCAGGAGGGGCAAGCGGAAUUCCUAGUGUAGCGGUGAAAUGCGUAGAUAUUAGGAGGAACACCAGUGGCGAAGGCGGCCUGCUGGACGGUGACUGACGCUGAGGCUCGAAAGCGUGGGGAGCAAACAGGAUUAGAUACCCUAGUAGUC